This is a long non-coding RNA of Meriones unguiculatus (Mongolian gerbil), 1852 nucleotides long. RefSeq lists it as uncharacterized. NCBI's taxonomy places the organism in Eukaryota, Metazoa, Chordata, Mammalia, Rodentia, Muridae. The transcript has 5 exons. The record is from RefSeq and is a predicted model, not a curated record.
AUCAAGACCGGCUCUGGUCGUGUAAACGCUGACAUUGUCACGUUGAAUCUGAAGUCUUUCGGAUGCUGCUCACAGGCAGCCCGUUUCCCUCCUGACCACCCAGCCAAGGUCUGGCCUGCAGCCACCGCAUCUGGGAAGCCCGUUCGAACAUGCACCAUCCUGCAACAUUUUUUUUUCUCCUUGGCACCAUAUCUGGCAUCACACAGAAAGUCAUUAACCCUCGCUGAGCGUCAGUUCCCUUCUAUGCAAAACGCAGGAAUGAAGCGAGAGGAACACCUGACAGGACCCCGGACCUUUUGAUGACUCCUGCUGUCCAACAGAAUGGGGCUCUAAUGGGAUGAAACACAUACCUUCUACAUUUCAGAUGGAGACAGUUUCCCUCCGUGAGCUCAGUGAGUGUCUAGCAAACCACUUCACAACCCUACCAACCAGUCCUCGUGGUAAGAAGACAGUGAAUCCUUGAACUCAAAAGCUUGCAAGAAAUUGACACAGAGUGGAGAGGAGCCGGAGGAGCCACUUCCAUGUAUCAUGAUGCCGGAGGCCCCAAUGCAGGACUAUAAACAUCUCUCAAGUCUAUGCACCUCUUGCCUCCAAACCUCCCAAAGAAGGACCAAAACCACGAGGAGACAACAGUUGAAUGCCCAGCGGCCUCUACCUGCUACCAAGAUCCAUCCAAAGCAGCUGGAAUGAUCCUUCUAACAAUCACAUCAGGCCGUUUCACCCUGACUUAAAGCCCAUUGAAAGUGAUGAGAAACAGCUUGCCAUCGCCUGGAAGCAUACAAGCUCAGAAAUGGAAUGUGGCUGUCGCUCAGGCCAGUGGCUUCCAGACAUUCUCCAGACACUUGACAGUGGCAGAAUUCUGCGCCAGGAGCUCCAGCCAGCCCUCCCAUCCCUGGCCCCCAGCCCCAUUCCUACCCACAUUCUCACCUCUACACCCACCUGAACCCUGUUCCUGUCCACUCUUAUCCCCACUACGUUCUUAUCCCCAUCCCCACAUCCACUCCAUCCCCAUCCUCACCCCAACACCCACCCCCACCUCCAGCCCCCACUCCUUGCACGGGAGGGUUGCAUUUGCCUGCUUCCAAAUGGACCCAACUUAAAGACAAAUGGCCCAGCAUGUUUGAGUGACUUUGCUCCUAGGCCCACAGACCUUAGGGAUGAUCUAGCGGUAACGUUUUUCACGCUCCUGCUCUUCCUACUGCCCCCUCAGAUAUGCUGUCAAUUCCAAAUGGAGCCAUCAGCGCCUGCGCCUUGACUUGUGCACGCCUGCACCAGUUCCGCUGAGCUCCUUGCUCCUCAUCGUUUUCCAUAACGUGUGAAGCAGUCUAGGAGGUGGGCAUGGAUAACAGCCAGAGGCUGCUAAUUCUGAGGCUGCAUGCUUGGUCCAGGCCUCCUGAGGGGUGAGAGGAAACUCACCUAUAAGACAUUCCUGGGCUAGAACCCCCUAGGCUCCACACUUCUCCAGAGGAAGAUUUGACCCCUCCCAGUACCAUGUGCUUCGGUUUGGGGGAAUGGAGCAACAGGAGACAAGAGAUCCACUUAAGAAGCCAUUGCAAGGUCUGGGAGAGAGAAGAUGAGAGUUGGGAAAGAAAGAUUGAAGUGAAAGACAUGGGUGGACUUGGCUGUUCCAUGUGCGAGGAGGGUAAUGAAUACAGUGCAUAAUAACUACCCACUAAUUCACACAAUUAGCUGAGGAUGCCAAACACAGGUCAGUGUCUCUGCCAGCAUACAGAAGUGUUCCAAAAUACUGAUGUAUUCCAGAUGUUGGGACUGUUACAACUUCUUUUGUCUCUGUAUUAAUGAGCUGUCAUAUUAUCCACUCAAUCUUAAAGAAAUAAAUCCUCUAAAUAUG